AUGCCUGCCCAGUGACACAAGUUUAACGGCCGCGGUACUUUGACCGUGCAAAGGUAGCAUAAUCACUUGUCCUAUAAUUAAGGACUUGUAUGAACGGUUAGACAAGAACAAAACUGUCUCUUAAAAAUUUACUAAAAUUUGGUUUUUAGGUGAAGAAACCUGAAUAAUACUAAAAGACAAGAAGACCCUAUCGAGCUUAAAAAAUAAAUUAACUAACAAAAUCAAAACUAAUUAAAAAAUUAGUUGGGGCGACUAAGGAACAAAUAAAGCUUCCUCUUAUAUACUUUAAAUUCAUGCAUAAUGAUCCAAAAUAUUUGAUUAAAAAAAUUAGUUACCGUAGGGAUAACAGCAUAAUCUUUUUUAAGAGAACAUAUCGAAAAAAAGGUUUGUGACCUCGAUGUUGGACUAGGAUAUCCCAUAGAUUGCAAAAGUCUUUAAAGGUUAGUCUGUUCGACUA
Molecule: ribosomal RNA, 457 nt
Filed under: Antroselates spiralis
Lineage: Eukaryota; Metazoa; Mollusca; Gastropoda; Littorinimorpha; Hydrobiidae
Description: partial 16S large subunit ribosomal RNA
Rfam family: Bacterial large subunit ribosomal RNA
Source: RNAcentral